GAUGAACGCUGGCGGCGUGCCUAAUACAUGCAAGUCGAGCGAACAGACGAGGAGCUUGCUCCUCUGACGUUAGCGGCGGACGGGUGAGUAACACGUGUAUAACCUACCUAUAAGACUGGGAUAACUUCGGGAAACCGGAGCUAAUACCGGAUAAUAUAUUGAACCGCAUGGUUCAAUAGUGAAAGACGGUUUUGCUGUCACUUAUAGAUGGAUCCGCGCCGCAUUAGCUAGUUGGUAAGGUAACGGCUUACCAAGGCGACGAUGCGUAGCCGACCUGAGAGGGUGAUCGGCCACACUGGAACUGAGACACGGUCCAGACUCCUACGGGAGGCAGCAGUAGGGAAUCUUCCGCAAUGGGCGAAAGCCUGACGGAGCAACGCCGCGUGAGUGAUGAAGGUCUUCGGAUCGUAAAACUCUGUUAUUAGGGAAGAACAAAUGUGUAAGUAACUAUGCACGUCUUGACGGUACCUAAUCAGAAAGCCACGGCUAACUACGU
This 496-nucleotide ribosomal RNA is filed under the name uncultured bacterium. Its description in RNAcentral is "partial 16S ribosomal RNA". It matches the Rfam family "Bacterial small subunit ribosomal RNA", at positions 28 to 506 of the family's 1533-position model. The record is from RNAcentral.